GAGCGGCGUACGGGUGCGGAACACGUGUGCAACCUGCCUUUAUCUGGGGGAUAGCCUUUCGAAAGGAAGAUUAAUACCCCAUAAUAUACUGAUGGCAUCAUUCGGUAUUGAAAACUCCGGUGGAUAGAGAUGGGCACGCGCAAGAUUAGAUAGUUGGUGAGGUAACGGCUCACCAAGUCUACGAUCUUUAGGGGGCCUGAGAGGGUGAUCCCCCACACUGGUACUGAGACACGGACCAGACUCCUACGGGAGGCAGCAGUGAGGAAUAUUGGACAAUGGGUGAGAGCCUGAUCCAGCCAUCCCGCGUGAAGGACGACGGCCCUAUGGGUUGUAAACUUCUUUUGUAUAGGGAUAAACCUACCCUCGUGAGGGUAGCUGAAGGUACUAUACGAAUAAGCACCGGCUAACUCCGUGCCAGCAGCCGCGGUAAUACGGAGGGUGCAAGCGUUAUCCGGAUUUAUUGGGUUUAAAGGGUCCGUAGGCGGAUCUGUAAGUCAGUGGUGAAAUCUCACAGCUUAACUGUGAAACUGCCAUUGAUACUGCAGGUCUUGAGUGUUGUUGAAGUAGCUGGAAUAAGUAGUGUAGCGGUGAAAUGCAUAGAUAUUACUUAGAACACCAAUUGCGAAGGCAGGUUACUAAGCAACAACUGACGCUGAUGGACGAAAGCGUGGGGAGCGAACAGGAUUAGAUACCCUGGUAGUCCACGCCGUAAACGAUGCUAACUCGUUUUUGGAGCGUAAGCUUCAGAGACUAAGCGAAAGUGAUAAGUUAGCCACCUGGGGAGUACGAACGCAAGUUUGAAACUCAAAGGAAUUGACGGGGGCCCGCACAAGCGGUGGAUUAUGUGGUUUAAUUCGAUGAUACGCGAGGAACCUUACCAAGGCUUAAAUGGGAAAUGACAGGUUUAGAAAUAGACUUUUCUUCGGACAUUUUUCAAGGUGCUGCAUGGUUGUCGUCAGCUCGUGCCGUGAGGUGUUAGGUUAAGUCCUGCAACGAGCGCAACCCCUGUCACUAGUUGCCAUCAUUAAGUUGGGGACUCUAGUGAGACUGCCUACGCAAGUAGAGAGGAAGGUGGGGAUGACGUCAAAUCAUCACGGCCCUUACGCCUUGGGCCACACACGUAAUACAAUGGCCGGUACAGAGGGCAGCUACACUGCGAAGUGAUGCAAAUCUCGAAAGCCGGUCUCAGUUCGGAUUGGAGUCUGCAACUCGACUCUAUGAAGCUGGAAUCGCUAGUAAUCGCGCAUCAGCCAUGGCGCGGUGAAUACGUUCCCGGGCCUUGUACACACCGCCCGUCAAGCCAUGGAAGUCUGGGGUACCUGAAGUCGGUGA
Molecule: ribosomal RNA, 1332 nt
Filed under: Chryseobacterium sp.
Lineage: Bacteria; Pseudomonadati; Bacteroidota; Flavobacteriia; Flavobacteriales; Weeksellaceae
Description: bacterial SSU rRNA
Rfam family: Bacterial small subunit ribosomal RNA
Source: RNAcentral